UCAUAAAUAAUCUGUAUUUCUUUA
RNAcentral lists this microRNA (24 nucleotides) under Apis mellifera (honey bee). RNAcentral describes it as "ame-miR-3798-3p". The record is from miRBase by way of RNAcentral. Lineage: Eukaryota; Metazoa; Arthropoda; Insecta; Hymenoptera; Apidae.